AUAAUGGGUCAGCGACUUAUAUUCUGUAGCAAGGUUAACCGAAUAGGGGAGCCGAAGGGAAACCGAGUCUUAACUGGGCGUUAAGUUGCAGGGUAUAGACCCGAAACCCGGUGAUCUAGCCAUGGGCAGGUUGAAGGUUGGGUAACACUAACUGGAGGACCGAACCGACUAAUGUUGAAAAAUUAGCGGAUGACUUGUGGCUGGGGGUGAAAGGCCAAUCAAACCGGGAGAUAGCUGGUUCUCCCCGAAAGCUAUUUAGGUAGCGCCUCGUGAAUUCAUCUCCGGGGGUAGAGCACUGUUUCGGCAAGGGGGUCAUCCCGACUUACCAACCCGAUGCAAACUGCGAAUACCGGAGAAUGUUAUCACGGGAGACACACGGCGGGUGCUAACGUCCGUCGUGAAGAGGGAAACAACCCAGACCGCCAGCUAAGGUCCCAAAGUCAUGGUUAAGUGGGAAACGAUGUGGGAAGGCCCAGACAGCCAGGAUGUUGGCUUAGAAGCAGCCAUCAUUUAAAGAAAGCGUAAUAGCUCACUGGUCGAGUCGGCCUGCGCGGAAGAUGUAACGGGGCUAAACCAUGCACCGAAGCUGCGGCAGCGACGCUUAUGCGUUGUUGGGUAGGGGAGCGUUCUGUAAGCCUGCGAAGGUGUGCUGUGAGGCAUGCUGGAGGUAUCAGAAGUGCGAAUGCUGACAUAAGUAACGAUAAAGCGGGUGAAAAGCCCGCUCGCCGGAAGACCAAGGGUUCCUGUCCAACGUUAAUCGGGGCAGGGUGAGUCGACCCCUAAGGCGAGGCCGAAAGGCGUAGUCGAUGGGAAACAGGUUAAUAUUCCUGUACUUGGUGUUACUGCGAAGGGGGGACGGAGAAGGCUAUGUUGGCCGGGCGACGGUUGUCCCGGUUUAAGCGUGUAGGCUGGUUUUCCAGGCAAAUCCGGAAAAUCAAGGCUGAGGCGUGAUGACGAGGCACUACGGUGCUGAAGCAACAAAUGCCCUGCUUCCAGGAAAAGCCUCUAAGCAUCAGGUAACAUCAAAUCGUACCCCAAACCGACACAGGUGGUCAGGUAGAGAAUACCAAGGCGCUUGAGAGAACUCGGGUGAAGGAACUAGGCAAAAUGGUGCCGUAACUUCGGGAGAAGG
RNAcentral lists this ribosomal RNA (1132 nucleotides) under Escherichia coli. Its description in RNAcentral is "bacterial LSU rRNA". It matches the Rfam family "Bacterial large subunit ribosomal RNA", at positions 612 to 1746 of the family's 2925-position model. The record is from RNAcentral. Lineage: Bacteria; Pseudomonadati; Pseudomonadota; Gammaproteobacteria; Enterobacterales; Enterobacteriaceae. RNAcentral also lists the same sequence under 1 other name.